AUUGGAUUCGACGGGUAACAAUAGUAGAAGAGGCAGGUAAGUUGCUGACUCUUUAAAGUUAGAAAACUAAAAAUGCCGACCAUAAAUCGACAUCCUUUAUCAGUGAAGACGGUUCUUUAGUCUUUGCUGAUAAAGAACUUGUAAUGGUUUAAGACCUUAUAAGUUUACGGUUCUGAUGGGUAGCAAUACUCCCGUAAGAGAAGAAAGUCAGAUGGUGGAGGAUGCGGAACUCAGAAAAUAAUCAGCUGGGUGUAGUAAAAAGAGAGAUUGCAUCUAUUAUGUGGUUGUUUAAUUUAGCAUAAUAGAUAAAGAGAUUAAAUUAAACUAAACUUGUAGUCUUUUUUAUGACUUGUUGCUCGGACCCGA
RNAcentral lists this transfer-messenger RNA (366 nucleotides) under Candidatus Omnitrophota bacterium. It matches the Rfam family "transfer-messenger RNA". Rfam says of the family: Bacterial tmRNA, also known as 10Sa RNA or SsrA, is named for its dual tRNA and mRNA-like properties. Its role is to liberate the mRNA from a stalled ribosome. The record is from RNAcentral. Lineage: Bacteria; Pseudomonadati; Candidatus Omnitrophota.